Molecule: long non-coding RNA, 2040 nt
Organism: Daphnia pulicaria
Lineage: Eukaryota; Metazoa; Arthropoda; Branchiopoda; Diplostraca; Daphniidae
Exons: 5
Source: RefSeq, a predicted model, not a curated record
AAUUGAUUUGGCAAAAGCAUCUGAUUUGACCAUCUAUCUUCUCUACGCUUUCCGGUUUCGCAAUCGUAAGAUAUUCUUGGGAAAUGUCUUUGGAAAAAAUCAAACCGCAUCCAAGAAUAUGACUGAAGUGUCCAGAAUUAUCGCCAAAAUGCUGUACGAGCAGAAACACGGAGCUUCCAUUGGUUCCGGCGCAAUCGCGUUGAACGACACCCUUUGCGAGAAUCUUUUCGCCUCAGUGUACGUUUGCGUGCUAAACGGAAUUUUCUUGAUUAUUGUUGGACGCCCUGGAUCAUCAAAAUCUUUGUCAGUGGAAAUCCUCAAGCUUGUUUUUUCUCCUGGCAACCAUACGCUACGGCACAGUUUAGGAGAUUGCCGCCCAUCACUGAACUUUAUUUCCAGUGCUCUCCACGUUCAACAUCUUCCGGAUUCAAAGCCCUUUUUGAAUCAACCCAGCGACUCAGUGUUGGCCCGAAGACUAUGCUGGCCAUGGUUGUGCUGGAUGAACUCGGCCUGGCCGACAUGUCGCCAGAAAAACCAAUCAUAGUGUUGCACGUCGAACUAGAACGCCAAUCAUUUUUGACAUCCGGCGAAAAGCAACAAUCCCCCUACUCGGUAGUUGCCCUCAGUAAUUGGGUGGUGGACGAGAGAAAAUGUUAAUUGAUUCUUUCAAGUCAUUGCUGCCGGAAAUGCUCGGUCCAGUUUUACAAGCAAGUCUAGUUAGCUUACGUUUAAGCUUGGGCCAGUUCUACAGUGGUGUACCUGUACGGACGGCCCUGGGACUGCAGAGCAAUCAACUUUUGAUUUAUUACUGAAAGAGCGUUUGCUGGCACAGCUAAUGAGGAACCUAAUUACCUGGAACGUGGUCGAUGCCGUAAGCGACGCAAGCUUCGAUUCGUCGUCGUUAAUAGAAGGCUUGUGGGGUGUUUUCAAACACAAAAUCAGCAAUCCACUUGUUCAUCUUUUACUCGUCAGUGACUUCUGGUGCAUUUCUGACCAGCCUUCAACAAAGCUGUGGUGUGAUUUCGUCAACACCAACUAUCCUCACCGACUGAUGUCGCUCAAUUCAUCCGAUUCCCUUGUCCAAAUGCAAAUCGUUUUCCGCACUUGCACGCAACCCUUCGGUCGCUUACUGGCGUCUUUCGACAUCCAUCUCAAUGGACCGUUAAAUUCGCUCCUUGAUCGUGUCGCUAAAAGCGAAGAUGCAAAAUCCCAGGAAAUUACAGAAGCUUAUUCCCUAGAUUGGUUUUUACUUCGUAUCCCUCCACAUUUAAACCACUGCUUGAAAAAACUGCCCUUGUCGAAGAUGAGUUAUAUUGUGUAAAACAUGUCUGAAGACCCGAAGAAUUUUUUCAUCGAGUGGGAACAGCGCGAAGCUAAUAUGGUUACUGCUCUUGAACUGGUCAGCAUUGCGUCUUUCGCCGAGGCGGAUGUGAUCUAUGGUGACAUUUGGGGCAGUGCUACUGGUCGGAUGCGUAACUGGACAUUUCUCACAAAGACUGGGACUCGUUCGUCACUCGCGUCAUUGGCUUCUUCAGAUUCUUUCAAUUCUCAAGGGAAAUCUAUGCAGGCAGUUUCGUCCAAUGAAGUGAGUCCGGCCCUGUCGAGUUUGUUGGAUCGCGUGGGCGACUUGCCAUAAGUUUGACUGCGCUUGAGAAUCAGGAAAUGUGUCUUGCUAUUUGAUCCCGAGUCGAAAAUCUAACUUCCGGAUUUGCAAGUUCCCUACUUUCGUCGACUGUGUGCCGACACAAUAACAUCGCCACGUCUUUCUUUUUCGUCCAGCUCUCUCUCUCUCUUCAAUACUCGAUCUUUUUUAAUAUUAUAUGAUUAUUCCGCCCAGCUGCCGCGUACACCCAAGAGACUGUUUGAGAAACUGACGGAGUUAGUUGUCACUUCGAUCCUUCGGCCAAGAGUUGCUACUGGAAAUAAAGCAAGAAGAUUCGUACGCCAGGCCAAUUAAAACGCAUUGCUAAGAGCACGUCAUUGAACUUGUGAUUCUCCUAAAGAACUUGCUAAAGGCGAAUACAUUUUGGUUAGCAAUCA